CAGCUCUUCAAGUGGUCGGGAUGAUUAUUGGGCUUAAAGUGUCCGUAGCCGGUUUAGUAAGUUCCUGGUAAAAUCGGGUAGCUUAACUAUCUGUGUGCUAGGAAUACUGCUAAUACUAGAGGGCGGGAGAGGUCUGAGGUACUGCAGGGGUAGGGGUGAAAUCUUAUAAUCCUUGUAGGACCACCAGUGGCGAAGGCGUCAGACUGGAACGCGCCUGACGGUGAGGGACGAAAGCCAGGGGAGCGAACCGGAUUAGAUACCCGAGUAGUCC
This 271-nucleotide ribosomal RNA is filed under the name uncultured archaeon. RNAcentral's name for it is "partial 16S ribosomal RNA". It matches the Rfam family "Archaeal small subunit ribosomal RNA", at positions 477 to 747 of the family's 1478-position model. The record is from RNAcentral.